Long non-coding RNA from Hemiscyllium ocellatum (epaulette shark), 322 nucleotides. RefSeq lists it as uncharacterized. The record is from RefSeq and is a predicted model, not a curated record. The transcript has 4 exons. NCBI's taxonomy places the organism in Eukaryota, Metazoa, Chordata, Chondrichthyes, Orectolobiformes, Hemiscylliidae.
CCGACGCAGAGUCGCUGUAAUAAAUGCUCGGGAAGUUAUAGAGAGAAAGGAUACGAUCCCAGUGAUUAAUGCCAAAGCCCUGUUGCCUGUGGAGAGGGUGAUGCUUGACUUUCUUGUACAGCUGCAGUUUGUGUGGUGAAGGUGCUCCCACAAUGUGGUUGGGAUACUACAGGUGGACAUUCAGAUGGUAAUCUCAGUCAUUGUAACACCAAACUCUGAUUGAAUUAGUCAAUUCAUCAGGACCUGGAUAUUCGCAUUGUGUGUGCAGAGAUGGCCAUUCGUACAGUGAUGUGCUCUUCCUGUUGGAUGUGGGAGAUUAAGG